AGGAAGUUGUACCAAUACUCCAGCUAUUUGAGCAGUUGUUGCAAAGGGAUGGUAACAGCAAUGGCUCUGAGUAAAUCCACUAACUCACACAAAAAUGCUACUGAAGACCUUUAUGAGGUGGCUAAGUUGAAGAAAGAAUGUUAUGAAUGGAUCAACACAUGCUCUUGCCUCCUUUCUAAUAUCAAAGGCAGAAAAAUUACAUUAUUGACAUAUGAAGAAAUAGAGCAGCUACUUGAAGAGGAGGCUGUAAAAGAAUUCAUUGAGCCUGAAAUAGACGAGUCUUUUAAAGAAGAUGAAGAAGAAAGUAAGGAGGAUAGGAAACUUCAGGAGGAAAAUAAAGAGAGAACAGAAGAACAACCUUCAACAUCUACAGAGAAGGAAAAACUCAUUCGAUUCAUUGGAGAAGAUGAAAAUGUUCAUUCCAAACCUCUAUUUGAAACAGAUGUGUUGUCUUCCUGGAAAAAGGUAUAGUGGUAUGAUGGGAUGUGUGAGUGAGGGUGAGAGACUUAGAUGCAGGCUUGCUUUAGCCCACUGGAUCAUGCUGUGAUUGUGGCAGGCUGUCCACCCUCUUCUAUCUCUCCUUCCGUCUAUAAUAGAGAAUCAGCUAAGCAAGGUACAUUGGCCCAAAAAUAUCUUGAAGCAAUGGCUGUAAUUGAACAUAUGCAGGAGAAGUUACUGGAGGUUGAAAACAGAGCCAGACAGGCAGAGGAGAAGUUUGAAGAUGCAUAUGAGAAACUUCAUCAUACCCUUAUAAAAAAUAAAGAUCUAGAGGAAUUAGUCAUGACAUCAAGAAAGGAGUCUGAAGAAGAGAAAGAAAAUGAAGAUGAAAGAGAAGUAAAAGAACAAGAAGAACAAGAAGAAGUCAGGUCAGCAGAAAAUUCCUCAAAAUCUCCAAAGAAAGGUCACUGAAUCCAAGGCAACCUGUGGAGAGAAGAAUUCAGAUGUCAGUGGGAGCCUCCAGGUGGAGGGAGAGCAUGCCUAAACCCUGGUGGCCAUUGUUCUAUACUAAGGAAGAACAUUCCCUUUGAAAGGACAUUAUUUGCCUGUUGUAUUUAACUUCACAGUGCCUUGCAAAGAGUCGUUUAACUUGAAUAGUGCCAACCAAUAAAUAUCUGUGCAAUUGAA
This 1125-nucleotide small RNA is filed under the name Pongo abelii (Sumatran orangutan). RNAcentral's name for it is "processed transcript". The record is from RNAcentral. Lineage: Eukaryota; Metazoa; Chordata; Mammalia; Primates; Hominidae.